GCCAGAUAAAGGUAACAGCAUUGAAGAGAAGCACUUAACUAUUAAAAUUUUUUUUUUCUUCUUUGCAAACAAUUUGAUGAGAGAGAGCAGUUAUCCAUCUAUAUGGGUAGAAAAUGAGUUGUGGAUGGAAGGCAAAUUGUUGGGCAUUAUCUGUGGAGCAUAACAAUAGUAGAUCUGAUUGUCAUGUUGAAAGCCAAAUUAU
This 202-nucleotide long non-coding RNA is filed under the name Homo sapiens (human). RNAcentral describes it as "non-protein coding lnc-CYLC2-7:1". The record is from RNAcentral. Lineage: Eukaryota; Metazoa; Chordata; Mammalia; Primates; Hominidae.